This is an unclassified non-coding RNA of Chelonoidis abingdonii (Abingdon island giant tortoise), 178 nucleotides long. NCBI's taxonomy places the organism in Eukaryota, Metazoa, Chordata, Testudines, Testudinidae. The record is from Ensembl.
GUGACAGCCCUGAAGAAUGAAGUCCUCUGUUUAGCCAUACUACAGAGACAGCAUGGGCAAUGGCUGGACUACCUUCCACCCCCCUGUCCCUUGCUGAUAUGUCUCAGCAGGGACUAUACCUUAGGGGUUGAAACUAAAGAUGGCCUAACUCUCAUUGAUAGGUCACUCCAUUGGGACC